AGCGAACGCUGGCGGCAGGCCUAACACAUGCAAGUCGAACGAACUCUUCGGAGUUAGUGGCGGACGGGUGAGUAACACGUGGGAACGUGCCUUUAGGUUCGGAAUAACUCAGGGAAACUUGUGCUAAUACCGAAUGUGCCCUUCGGGGGAAAGAUUUAUCGCCUUUAGAGCGGCCCGCGUCUGAUUAGCUAGUUGGUGAGGUAAAGGCUCACCAAGGCGACGAUCAGUAGCUGGUCUGAGAGGAUGAUCAGCCACAUUGGGACUGAGACACGGCCCAAACUCCUACGGGAGGCAGCAGUGGGGAAUAUUGCGCAAUGGGCGAAAGCCUGACGCAGCCAUGCCGCGUGAAUGAUGAAGGUCUUAGGAUUGUAAAAUUCUUUCACCGGGGACGAUAAUGACGGUACCCGGAGAAGAAGCCCCGGCUAACUUCGUG
Molecule: ribosomal RNA, 433 nt
Filed under: uncultured bacterium
Lineage: Bacteria
Description: partial 16S ribosomal RNA
Rfam family: Bacterial small subunit ribosomal RNA
Source: RNAcentral